GGGUGUGUGUCUUGAUGAAAUGUUCAAAUGCAGAAAAAGAGGAGUACCUCCAGACUUCUGGGCUGUCUGGAGGUCUUUAUUGUCAUUUGUAAUGCUUUCAAGCCCUAAACUACCCAUACGGAGAAUAUAUACAAUAUGCAGUCUUAAAAAUGGCUUUGAGCAUCACCGCUCUAAGUCGGAUGUGUGGUGGGGAUGUUGGGGUGUGGGGGGAGUGGCAGUGCAUGGGUGUGUGACAGAGCAGGUGAGAGAGAGGGCAUAGGAAAGAAGAACAUAGAGACAACAUGGUGCAGAGGUCCUGGGGGGAGGGAAGAAAAUAGCGCAGGAGAAGAAACAAGGUAGAGGGAUAAAAGACAAACGUGUGCUCAAUGCCACAGGGGAGUUGCCACGUUUGCUGGUACGUGGAGACAUAGUGUGCUGGGAAGUGAUCGGUAUGAGGCACACUGGGAUCUUGGGAAAAAGAGGUGCAGAGUGUCAUGGGGUGGAAGGGGAUAAUGGAAACGGACACUUCGUAGGGAAGAUGCUAAUGGUCGGUGUGGGUACGAGACACACAAGACAGUGGCUUGGAGUGGUGAAAAUAAUGGUGGGAGGAUGAAGGGAAAAAGUGUGGGGCGGGUGUGCUUUGGAGGAGGGCAGCGUGGCCCAAGGCAAUAGAGAAUGUCUGAAGAGGAGAGGAACCCUGGAGGAGACCUUGAACAAGGCAAAAGAGGCAGAGGGCAUUCAGGGGGCCAGUGAGGGUAGUGGGCAGUGAGGGAAUCCAGGAGAAAGGGUCAGAGGAGAUCGGGAUGGAGUAAUGCAUGUGGGUGCGGAUUGGAUUCCUGCAGGAGUGGAGGCUGGGGCACCGCAAGGUGUGGAUGUAGAGGACCCAGGAAAUGGGUGAGAUACUGGUAUUGGGAGUGGAAUUUCGGCAAGACAAAGAAAGGGCGGGACCUCACCGGUCCUGGGGGUGAUAGAAGGCAAGGAGGGUGGCACUGGAGUCCCUGGAAUAGCGGUCACCUAGAGACAGAUGUCAAAAAGGUGACGGGAAGGAGGUUGGAGUGGGAUGCAGAAGUCUCCUAGGGCUGAGUCCAGGUGAGGGAUGUGUGGAGGUUUAGCAGGUAACUGGGGCUCCCAGGAUGGGGGCAUGAGGACCCUGGUGGGAGAGGAGCAUACGGUGGGGAAGGGGAGCCAGGGAACUGGGAGGGUGCGAGUGGCACAAGGCAGAUUGGAGGUCACUGCUUGACACCCAUUCGUUAAUUCUCGAUUUACGGGCAAAUAUCAAGUGUCAUGGAUAGUUAGUUCCUAAUUUCAGCUCAGGAGGCAAAACUCUUGCUCAAUUAAAACGUGCCCCCACGUCACGAACUAGAGCAUACAGUACAGGAGGGAAGGUGCAGUUUUGGGUAGCAAAUCUCAGCCAUUCCUUGGGAAAUCAGGUGCAGGAUGUGACUGGUCGGUCAGGCUGGAGAGGCUUUUACUGGUAUCCAGAGUUGCAAGUGGGGGAAAGAGCUGUCUCAUCACAAACUCUGCAUCUCUGUUGAAGAACUGUUGUGGGUCAAGGACAUUUUAUGCCCCAACAUUGAUCUGAUGAAGAUUCUUUUAGGUAUUGUGAUAUUUCUAAGACCUAACCCUUUGUUUUAACAAUAUGAGCUUUAAGAACACUUAAGCUUUUAGGAUACCUGAAAAUUGGAGAGAAAUUCACCCGUGUUUUUUCAUUCUAAGAAACCAUAUGAAAAGGGAACCAGAGGGGAGAGAGUUGUGAAUGUAUUGAUAAUUCUAAAAAAAUUUUUUUUACACAAUUUCCACUGAUUUCAUAAUAAUUACAGGCAGAUGUCCAAUUGGAGGGUGACUCUCUUGGCUUUGUUAUGAUACCAAGUAAGAUGGAUUUGGAGGAUUUAAGGUUACUAAUGAAAUUACCUUUAAGCACCUAUGUUAUCCUAGAUGAUCUGCUGGAUCCAGAGUAAUUCCAAGAUCCUUAAAGAGAGAGAGAAUCCAGAGAUAUUAGAUACAAGAGGAAAUCAGAGAUUUGAAGCAUAAGGACUGUUGCUGUCUUUGAGCCUAAGUGUAGGUGGGCACAUGUGGAAACCACAAGAUGGCAAUUAAUUGUGCUAACGACCUAAAAGAUGAUAGAAGUGGAAUAUUACAUAGGAUCUGGAGAAGGAAGUCCAAGCUGAUUGACACCUUGAUUUAGAAGGCGACAUUGUAAUCAGAGUACCCAGCCAAGACCCAAAUGGUUUUCAUCUAAGAACUGUUAUGAAAAUAAAUUUGUGCCUUGUUUUUAAAUAUCUGCUAAGUAUUUAUAGCAGUGCAAGUGACUAAAUGUGUAUUCUUCCAACUCCCACCCCCACCCUUAAUCCCAUGGUGAAACCGAAUCCCCAGCAUUUGGAGAAGGGGCCUUGUGGUGAUGAGGGUGAGCUCUCCUGAAUGAGAACAUUGACCUUGUAAAAAUGACCCCAGAGCUUUCAUUGAACCCUUCCACCAAGAGAGUACACAGUGAUAGGAUGGCUAUAUACGAGCAGGAAGUGGGCACAGGAUAUGAUAGUUGUUAACACUUCCCAGGUGAUCGUCAGGGGAAGCCAACAAUGACAACCACUUUGCCAAACACUGCCUCUCAAAGUAUUGUGUGUAUGUGAAUCUCCUGCAUUUCUGUUGAAACAGAGUCUACAGAAGAACCCUACUCUAAGAGAUUGAGAUACAGCUGCGGUCCGGCCGAUGAAUUAGCAUUUUCAACAGAGUCUCUGGUGGUGCUGCUGCUUCUCUCCCCAGAACUCUGUUUCCACAGCAUCCCCCACCCAAUCCCCCUUUCGGUAGCACUAGAGAGAGCAAGCAGAGCACACCCGACCCUCUUACUCGCUAACGUCCCAUCUCAACACAGAUGCUGUGGGUUCCUCACAUGUAGCAAAUGAAGAGGAAGGAACGGAACCAGCACAGGUGAUUCCCGUGGGGACGGAGGGGCUGCUGGAGGGAAAGUCUGAGGACCGUCCAGGGAAGCCGGAGCGCGCAGUUGCACGUGGCAGGUCCCAGGAGGGGGUUGGCCUUCUUGGGCGGCCUCUGCGCAGGCGCGAGCUCUGGGAUGGGCGUGUGGGCGUGGCUACGGCCUCGUUGCGCCUGCGCGCAUGUCCGGCAGGGUCAGGUGACCGUUGAGCUCCCGCAGACGCCCUUGGCCCUUCCAGGUGAGGAACUGGCUCAGAGCUGCGGCUUCUCCUCCUGGAAGAUAUUCUUGCUGGAUUCUGAUUCCAUGUAUUUCCUCAAUUCUCAAAUAAUGAUGCAGCUUAGAAGAUAGAAGACUAAGAAUGCCCUAGAUUUUUGGUGGAAGAACUUCUGAGGGAAUCGGGGAUGCCUGUGAGACACACACACUCACUGCCAGUCCCUUAGUUGUCUGACAUCAGUAUUUCCUGCUCCUUCCCUGUGAGCCCCUCUCUGCCAUCAGGGAUCGUGAAAAAGGAUGUCGAAUCCACUACAUCACUGUAGAUUUCCCAUUUUUGUGGACAAUAAAAAGAACGAUAUAAAUGAAAAAUAUCCAACUCGCGGUUGAUUAUAUGGAUGCCGUACGCCGUACACCUGACCUUCUCCUGAGUGACAGUUCUACACAUCUAGUGGAUCUAGAGCACAAGAGGACAUCUGAAACGUUUUUAUUGAGGAAGAACUUUCCACCAAGCAUCACAAUCCACAGUAAGCACUGGAAACAUUUCCACCAAAGGCGAGGCUGAGGUAGGUGGGCCAGCCAGGCUCCUGCCAUUCACCGCUGCUCUGGAUGCCUAAGCUGGGCCCAGCUGGGGGGAAACACUCAUUCCCAUUAGAAGUUGCACUGAGGAACCUAUUUGCAAGACAUUUCCCAGCCUAUGUGAAGGACAUAACAAAGACAUGACCAAAAACUGACAAACCUAAUUCUUUUUGUUUUUUAAUUUUUUUAAUGUUUUUUUUUAUUUUUGAGAGAGAGAGAACACGAGCAGUAGAGGGGCAGAGAGAGAAGGAGACAUGGAAUCUGAAGCAGACUCCAGGCUCCAAGCUGUCAGCAAAGAGCCCAACAUGGGUCUCGAACUCAUGAACCACAAGAUCAUGACCUGAGCCAAAGGCAGAUGCUCAGCUGACUGAGCCACCCAGGCACCCCCAAACCUAAUUCUUACUGGAGGUGUGGUGACAUAAAGACCUCAGUGAUUUAGAAACUCAGAGCAAUUCAAAUGCAAAAGAAAUGUGGGAUUUAAAAAAAUGAAACAGUGGCCAUUGUGCUGAGGAAAAAUAAUUUUGAAAAGAAAAAUUAAAUGGAGAGAUUUGCCAAAGAACACAUGAACCUAUUAAUGUGUGUGUGUUACAUGAAACUUUACAAUCAAUGAAAUAAAUAACUACCAGAUAUAUACAAAAAGCCAAUUUAAGGAGAUAAUUUUAAGAAAAGAGUACUAAACGGAACAUAAUACCUUGAGAUUAUGCUAGCUCAGAUCUGCCUAAGAAAGAUCCGAAAGUAGAGGGCAAGAAGGAAAGAUUAACAUUUCACUGCAAAACACUGAUAAAAUAAAGACACAAGGCUGUGUGUAAAGAAUUAAGCCAUAAAAUAGCCCUUAAAAAUAUAUCAAAGGAGAACAGCAAAGUAUGAAAAUCCAGGUUUUAUUCCCACAAAACUAAUGAAAGUUACAAGUAGGUGGAAAAUGGAAAUACAACGGAUUGUCAAUUUCUCCCCAAUUUUCAAACACAAAGAGAUUACAGUACCAAUUUUGCCUACGUCAGGGGGGAAGUCUCGUGUUGUUGUGGGAUGGGGUACUUCGUAGCUUUAGGAGACCAUAUCGGACAGAAUCUAUCCUAAUGUGAAAUGCACUGUCCUUAACCCAGUAAUCACACGUUGAGUUGCCUGACCCAGAGAAAUCCUGAGACAUCUGCAGAGAGGCCGGCCUACUCCUACACAGCCACCGUGUCAUUCUUUACAUCAGCGAAAAAUGGCAAAGGUCCCCGUGUGUCCCCAUUAAGAAAAUGAUCCAAUGAGGCUCUGAAUGAGCAAGCUGUGUCUGAUUGUGUUGAUUAACAUGAAAACAGUGUCUAGACGUGCUGUGUAAAUUUUUCUAAUUUGCAUAAUAAAAUGUUACGACAAACUUCA
This is a long non-coding RNA of Acinonyx jubatus (cheetah), 5059 nucleotides long. RefSeq lists it as uncharacterized. Lineage: Eukaryota; Metazoa; Chordata; Mammalia; Carnivora; Felidae. The transcript has 4 exons. The record is from RefSeq and is a predicted model, not a curated record.